This 853-nucleotide ribosomal RNA is filed under the name uncultured archaeon. RNAcentral's name for it is "bacterial SSU rRNA". It matches the Rfam family "Archaeal small subunit ribosomal RNA", at positions 1 to 860 of the family's 1478-position model. The record is from RNAcentral.
UUCCGGUUGAUCCUGCCGGAGGUUACUGCUAUCGAGGUUCGACUAAGCCAUGCGAGUCGAAUGUAGCAAUACAUGGCGAACUGCUCAGUAACACGUGGACAACCUGCCCUUAGGACGGGGAUAAACCCGGGAAACUGGGUAUAAUACCCGAUAGGUCUCGAUUGCUGGAAUGCAUCGAGAUUUAAAGCUCCGGCGCCUAAGGAUGGGUCUGCGGCCUAUCAGGUAGUAGUGGGUGCAGCGUACCUACUAGCCUACGACGGGUACGGGUUGUGAGAGCAAGAGCCCGGAGAUGGAUUCUGAGACACGAAUCCAGGCCCUACGGGGUGCAGCAGGCGCGAAAACUUUACAAUGCUGGCAACAGCGAUAAGGGAACCUCGAGUGCCAGGUUACAAAUCUGGCUGUCGAGAUGCCUAAAAAGCAUUUCAUAGCAAGGGCCGGGCAAGACCGGUGCCAGCCGCCGCGGUAACACCGGCGGCUCGAGUGGUAACCGUUAUUAUUGGGUCUAAAGGGUCUGUAGCCGGCCGGAUAAGUCUCUUGAGAAAUCUGGCAGCUUAACUGUCAGGCUUUCAGGAGAUACUGUCUGGCUCGAGGCCGGGAGAGGUGAGAGGUACUUCAGGGGUAGGGGUGAAAUCUUGUAAUCCUUGAAGGACCACCAGUGGCGAAGGCGUCUCACCAGAACGGACCUGACGGCAAGGGACGAAAGCUAGGGGCACGAACCGGAUUAGAUACCCGGGUAGUCCUAGCCGUAAACGAUGCUCGCUAGGUGUCGGCCACGGUGCGACCGUUGUCGGUGCCGUAGGGAAGCCGUGAAGCGAGCCACCUGGGAAGUACGGCCGCAAGGCUGAAACUUAAA